This 374-nucleotide ribosomal RNA is filed under the name Triatoma dimidiata (kissing bug). Its description in RNAcentral is "LSU rRNA". Lineage: Eukaryota; Metazoa; Arthropoda; Insecta; Hemiptera; Reduviidae. The record is from RNAcentral.
CCUUUUGUUUAUUUAUUUAAGGUCUGACCUGCCCAAUGAGGAAUUCAAUGGCCGCAGUAUUUUAACUGUGCUAAGGUAGCAUAAUCAUUUGUCUUUUAAUUGAGGGCUGGAAUGAAAGGUUGGACGAGAUAUUAACUUUCUUUAAUUUAAUUUUAAGAAUUUAAUUUUUGAGUUAAAAAGCUUAAAUUUAUUUGUUGGACGAGAAGACCCUAUAGAUCUUUAUAAUUUUAUAUUUUGAUAAUUUGGUGAUUUUAUUUAUUGUAAGUAGAAGAAUUAUUUUGUUGGGGUGACUGUAGAAUUUUAUUAACUUCUAUUAUUUUUAUUUCAUUGAUUGAUGUUUUUUUGAUCCAUAUAUUUAUGAUUAAAAGAUUAAG